Molecule: ribosomal RNA, 464 nt
Filed under: uncultured bacterium
Lineage: Bacteria
Description: partial 16S ribosomal RNA
Rfam family: Bacterial small subunit ribosomal RNA
Source: RNAcentral
CUACGGGGGGCUGCAGUGGGGAAUAUUGCACAAUGGGCGCAAGCCUGAUGCAGCCAUGCCGCGUGUAUGAAGAAGGCCUUCGGGUUGUAAAGUACUUUCAGCGGGGAGGAAGGAAGUAAAGUUAAUACCUUUGCUCAUUGACGUUACCCGCAGAAGAAGCACCGGCUAACUCCGUGCCAGCAGCCGCGGUAAUACGGCGGGUGCAAGCGUUAAUCGGAAUUACUGGGCGUAAAGCGCACGCAGGCGGUUUGUUAAGUCAGAUGUGAAAUCCCCGGGCUCAACCUGGGAACUGCAUCUGAUACUGGCAAGCUUGAGUCUCGUAGAGGGGGGUAGAAUUCCAGGUGUAGCGGUGAAAUGCGUAGAGAUCUGGAGGAAUACCGGUGGCGAAGGCGGCCCCCUGGACGAAGACUGACGCUCGGGUGCGAAAGCGUGGGGAGCAAACAGGAUUAGAUACCCUGGUAGUC